This 1422-nucleotide ribosomal RNA is filed under the name uncultured cyanobacterium. Its description in RNAcentral is "bacterial SSU rRNA". It matches the Rfam family "Bacterial small subunit ribosomal RNA". Lineage: Bacteria; Bacillati; Cyanobacteriota. The record is from RNAcentral.
GAUGAACGCUGGCGAGAUGCUUUACACAUGCAAGUCGUACGAGAGUUUUCGGACUCAGUGGCGGACGGGUGAGUAACACGUAAGAAUUUGCCUUUAGGAGGGGGACAACAAUUGGAAACGAUUGCUAAUACCCCAUAUGCUUUCGAGUGAAAUGGAUUUAUUGCCUAAAGUAGAAGCUUGCGGCUGAUUAGCUUGUUGGUAAGGUAAUGGCUUACCAAGGCGACGAUCAGUAUCUGGUUUGAGAGGACGAUCAGACACACUGGAACUGAGACACGGUCCAGACUCCUACGGGAGGCAGCAGUGGGGAAUUUUCCGCAAUGGGCGAAAGCCUGACGGAGCAAUCUCGCGUGAGGGAUGACGGCCUAUGGGUUGUAAACCUCUUUUUUCAGGGAGGAAUAAAAUGACGGUACCUGAGGAAUAAGCAUCGGCUAACUCCGUGCCAGCAGCCGCGGUAAUACGGAGGAUGCAAGCGUUAUCCGGAAUGAUUGGGCGUAAAGCGUCCGCAGGUGGUUUUGUAUGUCUGCUGUUAAAGCGUGCGGCUUAACCGCAUAAGGGCGGUAGAAACUACAAGACUAGAGUACGUUCGGGGCAGAGGGAAUUUCCCAGUGUAGCGGUGAAAUGCGUAGAGAUUGGGAAGAACAUCGGUGGCGAAAGCGCUCUGCUAGGCCUGUACUGACACUGAGGGACGAAAGCUAGGGGAGCGAAUGGGAUUAGAUACCCCAGUAGUCCUAGCCGUAAACGAUGGAUACUAGGCGUUGUCUGUAUCGACCCGGACAGUGCCGUAGCUAACGCGUUAAGUAUCCCGCCUGGGGAGUACGCAGGCAACUGUGAAACUCAAAGGAAUUGACGGGGGCCCGCACAAGCGGUGGAGUAUGUGGUUUAAUUCGAUGCAACGCGAAGAACCUUACCAGGGCUUGACAUGUCGCGAAUCCUUGUGAAAGCAGGGAGUGCCUUCGGGAGCGCGAACACAGGUGGUGCAUGGCUGUCGUCAGCUCGUGUCGUGAGAUGUUGGGUUAAGUCCCGCAACGAGCGCAACCCUCGUUUUUAGUUGCCAGCAUUAAGCCGGGCACUCUAGAGAGACUGCCGGUGAUAAACCGGAGGAAGGUGGGGAUGACGUCAAGUCAGCAUGCCCCUUACGUCCUGGGCUACACACGUACUACAAUGCUACGGACAAAGGGCAGCAAGCAUGCGAAUGCAAGCAAAUCCCAUAAACCGUGGCUCAGUUCAGAUCGCAGGCUGCAACUCGCCUGCGUGAAGGCGGAAUCGCUAGUAAUCGCAGGUCAGCACACUGCGGUGAAUACGUUCCCGGGCCUUGCACACACCGCCCGUCAAGCAUGGAAGCUGGUAGUGCCCGAAGUCAUUACUCCAACCUUUCGGGGAGGAGGAUGCCUAUGGCAGGACUGGUGACUGGGGUCAAGUCGU